GACGAAUGCAAUUAAAAUACAAGCAGACAGAUGGUUCUGUCACACUCCUAUUGUCCUUAUCUCUGUCUUUUACUAUCAAUAGCAAACAUACAUUUUAAAACAGAAACCUUGAAGGGACAACGGGUGAGGUGCUUAGAGGCAGAGGAACACUGCUGUGUUAGUGUGACGAGAGCAAUCUCGCCACAUUGCAUUGGAGAAGCCUGGCUGCCCGCCUGCUGCCUUUGGACUAUGGACCAGACUUUAUGUAAAUGUGUUAACC
Molecule: non-coding RNA, 259 nt
Organism: Pelobates cultripes (western spadefoot toad)
Lineage: Eukaryota; Metazoa; Chordata; Amphibia; Anura; Pelobatidae
Source: the annotation of a GenBank genome assembly